Molecule: non-coding RNA, 23 nt
Filed under: Cricetulus griseus (Chinese hamster)
Lineage: Eukaryota; Metazoa; Chordata; Mammalia; Rodentia; Cricetidae
Source: RNAcentral
CAGUGGUGGAAGAACGGUCUCAG